Amphiprion ocellaris (clown anemonefish) is the source of this 1871-nucleotide long non-coding RNA. RefSeq lists it as uncharacterized. The record is from RefSeq and is a predicted model, not a curated record. NCBI's taxonomy places the organism in Eukaryota, Metazoa, Chordata, Actinopteri, Pomacentridae. The transcript is spliced from 4 exons.
GUGUGUUAUUCUUUUUAUUAUUGGUGGUAAUAAUAGAAAUUAGUAAUGUCAUUUUACAAGAGAUAUCAUCAGAAUCACUGUUUUUCUACUUCUAGAAUAACCAAUAUCACCAUCUAGAUUUUCUACAUGUAGAAGAAUCUGUACAAAGUAAACAGUACUUGUGUAUAUUUCUUGUUUAUUAUAUAGUUUAGUACAAAUGUUCAAAUCCUUUUUGUAACGCUACAAAUCUCCCUGCUGUGGGAUCAAUGAAAGAUCAUCUUUUGUCAAAGAUUUCUUUUUCAAGAAAUGAAGAGAGUUAGGCAAACAAUGAAAAAAAGGAUGAUAAAGUUGUAUCACCUGAAUCCAGUCCUGCCAGAUUUACUGUCAACAUAAAUGAUACAUGUAACAGAUUGUCACACAAUGACAUUGUAUUUCACUAAAAUCCUCCAUUAGUUGUGGUUAAUGUUUACGUAUUCUCGUGCCUGUCUCUUUAAGAGCCUGCGUGUGUGUCCCUGCGGCAAUGUGCACCGAGCAUGCGUACUCUGGCCAGAGCUGUAAUCUGCAUGGCCAGAAGUGAGUCACAGUCUGAGCGCGCUCCUCUGACGGAAGUUUUUAUAAGUUAUUAUUUGUGUCUUAAGUGUGGUGUUAAGCGUUGUAGGUGAUUUUGUCUAGUGUGAAGUUAAUUUUAAGUCAUUUUCGUGAAGUUCUGUUUCCUUAAUAUGUGUUUUUAUUGCGAGGGUGGGUGUAAAGCUAACUGCUAGGCUAGCGCUAGCAGUUAGCCUCCCUUGCCAGUCUGAAUGUGUGCAUGUUUUUUUCGUCAGAGAGAGACAGAGGAGAAUUGCCGCUGAAAACACACCAGCUCAUGUGUGAUUAAUUUCAUUGAAACAGGGGACUCAGGCGUAAACAAUCGAUCCUAGCCAAAAUCGAACCAACGCCCAGCCAAUCACGUGGCGCUCCUCCGGUCAUGUGACGCAGACGGUUCACCUCACAAGACAGGGAUCAACCAGGGCUACCAGCAUGAACGACGGCGCUUCAGACCUAUGUAGCGAGGACCCGAUGCCAGGUCCAGUGGACAGACUUCAGACGUCUCUGCAUGUCCGGUCCUGUCCGGUCCUGUCUCUGGUUGCCUGGUUACAGACGCUGCUGCACCCUCACGUUUAAAAAUGUCUACACCUGAAACUCCACCACGUCUAAAGAAGCAAAAACGUUUGCAAAUGUACAGACUGGAGUGGGAAGAGUGGAACCCUGGCAAUGGAUACAAGGCAAACUGUGUUUUCUGUUGCUCAUGGACUGGCUGAAGUAAGGCAGCAUCAGGAGACAAACAUGGAGGAAAUAUGAGAACAGAGAGAACCCAACCAGCAGGUCACAGUUUAUCAUCAUCUAAUCAUCUCCUGAAGUCCAUAUGACAUCCACCAACCACUGGAACACAUCUCCAAAGUUCUGCUGGACCAGCUCAGCUUCCCCUCAGAAGAAGUUCCACCACCUGCCAGAUGAAGGAGCCUUUUGAGAGGCAGCUGGCAUCGUGAUUGGACUGUACUUUGGUCUGUUCCAAUCCAGCUUCAGCUCCAGAGACGGCAGGCGGGACGAGUCAACGGAGGCCUGGUGGACGAAGGCAUGAAGCUGAGUACAAUCCAGAAAACAACAGAGGAGGAGUGCAGCAGCCCAGAGCCAGAACAACCACAGUAGCAUCGUAUGUCUCUUAGAAAACAUCAUAGUAUAGCCUUUGGUAUGAAAAAACGCCAUCAUAUACAUCGUAUAUUGUACAAAUAACAAGUCAAAGCAAAGAGACAUACAUUGUAGAAUUGUAGUAAUUGUGGGCUGACUGAUUUACUGAUUAUCAGUAUUUUAUUUUUUUCACUGAUUUAUGGUAAUAAAUACAUUUAAAAAUGGCA